This 271-nucleotide ribosomal RNA is filed under the name uncultured bacterium. Its description in RNAcentral is "partial 16S ribosomal RNA". It matches the Rfam family "Bacterial small subunit ribosomal RNA", at positions 27 to 231 of the family's 1533-position model. The record is from RNAcentral.
GAUUGAACGCUGGCGGCAUGCCUUACACAUGCAAGUCGAACGGCAGCACGGGGGCAACCCUGGUGGCGAGUGGCGAACGGGUGAGUAAUGCAUCGGAACGUGCCCAGUAGUGGGGGAUAACUAGUCGAAAGAUUAGCUAAUACCGCAUACGACCUACGGGUGAAAGCGGGGGAUGCAGCACUUAAUGUUUUGGGAUGGCUACUUGUGGCCGCCUCGGGACAGUCUCAGGUUGAGAACAUUAAGUGCUGCACCUCGCGCUAUUGGAGCGGCC